GGGCCCGCACAAGCGGUGGAGUAUGUGGUUUAAUUCGAUGCAACGCGAAGAACCUUACCAGGGUUUGACAUCCUGCGAAUCUCUUGGAAACAGGAGAGUGCCUUCGGGAACGCAGUGACAGGUGGUGCAUGGCUGUCGUCAGCUCGUGUCGUGAGAUGUUGGGUUAAGUCCCGCAACGAGCGCAACCCACGUCUUUAGUUGCCAGCAUUUAGUUGGGCACUCUAGAGAGACCGCCGGUGACAAACCGGAGGAAGGUGUGGAUGACGUCAAGUCAUCAUGCCCCUUACGUCCUGGGCUACACACGUACUACAAUGCUACGGACAAAGAGCAGCUAACUCGCGAGAGUACGCAAAUCUCAUAAACCGUGGCUCAGUUCAGAUCGUAGGCUGCAACUCGCCUACGUGAAGGCGGAAUCGCUAGUAAUCG
This 426-nucleotide ribosomal RNA is filed under the name uncultured bacterium. Its description in RNAcentral is "bacterial SSU rRNA". It matches the Rfam family "Bacterial small subunit ribosomal RNA", at positions 917 to 1344 of the family's 1533-position model. The record is from RNAcentral.